UCAAAAGACCCUAUUUGCAAUGCCGGGGAGGUGGAUCAGUGCGUUGGGGGAAGAAGAAAUGGAGCGCCAUUGUUGCUGAGCUCUCAACCAUGGGCGGAGAUGUAGAAACAUUAUUUAGUCCUGAACUCAUACAAGUUAAGAGUUUUGGAGUUGAAUGCAAGUGGUGACCGUGGGAUCAAUGUUGUUCGGACUAGGAUUAAAGAUUUUGCUUGUGUUGCAGCAAGCAGUGGUCAAUGCCAUGGAAUGCCCUGAGGCAUCCCAUGGAAGCAUACUCCAAAGUGACAUGAUUCUUUCUUAUAUGCAACUAUAUCAGCAGGAUUGUAGAGCUCCCGUGCAUCGACGCCUGCAAAAGUUCAGGUUUAAGCCACUCUCUAAAGAGGUUUGGUAAUCUUAAUAAUUUUUGCAUUUGUUCAUGCACUCGAAGGCAGGGUAGUAUCAAGAACUUGGCGAACUAUAAUUGCUCUUUAAUUAGUUAGUAGUUAGCGGAUUAAUCAUAAUUAUUAUCAUAAUCAUAGGCAGUGUUUGGAUUUAGCUGCUAUUUUAGUGCGUUUUGAUGAAUAAUAAAUAUAAUUUGUUUGUCAAAGAUAAGUUUUAAUAUAGGUUUCCAGCCAAGAAUAUUCCCUCUCAUCAUCAUCAUCAACACUUUCUUAUAAGGUACGCUCUUCAUAAAUAGUUCUUCAAUUAUUUGAACUCAUAACAUGCAACUGUUUUAUAUAAUUUUUUCUCUUUUCUUUAAUCUGACUUUAACUGUUAUUAAAUAAUUAUAAUAAAGUUCAACCAAAAAAUAAAACUACAAAAUUUAAAGUCUAAAACAGUAAGAACCUAAUAAAUAUGAAAGCUAAAGCUACAAAUAGAAAACAUAAACGAAUUAAAAAAAUAAAAAAGACAAGAAAUCUAUGUGGGUGCAGGCAACCUAGACAAGUUGUUUGUCACCCAAAUGGAGUGCCUUGUAAGAGAACCAUUACUCAGCUCCAUGUGUUUGACCUUUAAUUAGAUGAUGAAUAUGGCAUGCAUGAACUUACACAGUUCAAGCUGCACCAAUCUCAAAAUUAAAAUUCUUUUCCAAUCAUAAUGCCAUGAGAGGCUCAUGUUUUUUAUUUAGAUUGGAUCUCGAGGCGGGACAAAGAAAGAAGAAGGUAAUUCGUUCUUUAAAAUACGACUUUGAUUAAGAUUUUUGAAGUUGUUUUUCUCCUUAGAAUAAGGGACUUGAGUAUGUAUUAAA
Molecule: long non-coding RNA, 1222 nt
Organism: Cucurbita maxima (winter squash)
Lineage: Eukaryota; Viridiplantae; Streptophyta; Magnoliopsida; Cucurbitales; Cucurbitaceae
Exons: 4
Source: RefSeq, a predicted model, not a curated record